Long non-coding RNA from Lycium barbarum (goji berry), 23754 nucleotides. RefSeq lists it as uncharacterized. NCBI's taxonomy places the organism in Eukaryota, Viridiplantae, Streptophyta, Magnoliopsida, Solanales, Solanaceae. The transcript has 3 exons. The record is from RefSeq and is a predicted model, not a curated record.
UGAGCUAAUUUCAUAUCUAAAAGACUAAAAGAAGGUUACAAAUGGUACUUGGCAAGAGAAAUGUAGAGACCCGAAUCUUUUCGGGUCGACCCGGAACACAACUCUAGGUUUGCAGCCAUGGCCAUGUCUUCAUUUUCUUGUUUUUAUCAAAAAAUUCUGAGCUUUAAUUUGCUCUUGUAGCUCUUGUUUGGAUGGUUAUUAACUAUUUGGCCAUAGAUUGUCAUUCUAAGCUCCUGUUUGGCCAUAGAUUGAAAAAAAAGGUUUGAAAACAUUGGUUGUUCAUGGAAUUUGAUCAGUUUCUGGAAAAAAAUUGAAGAAAAAUUUUCAAGGUGAAUUUUUUUUUUCAUAAAUGCAUGUUCAAACAUAGAGUCAAGUUCCAAAAAUUGUUUUUGUGGUGAAUUUUAUCAGUGUUUGGUUUACUAAUGUAGCUCUCUGAGAAGAAUAAAGUUGGGAAAAUUAAGAAUUUUCAUAAAAGGGUGUGUUUGGAAUGAAGGAGAAAUGUCUUUUUUUUUUUAUUUUUUUUUAUGUGAUGAAUUUCAUCAGUGUUUGGUUUACUAAUGUACCCCUCUGAGAAUAAAGAAAGUUGGGCUUUUUUUUUUUUUUUUUUUUGGUGAAAACUAAUAAUUUUCCUAAAAAAAGUUAGCCCAUAUAGAGUAAUGAGGUUAAUUUUUGUCUUGUAGUUCUUGUUUGGAUGGUUGUUACCUAUUGUAUUGUUAUGCUAAAAUGGUAUGUUUGGUAUGAAGAUUAGAUUUUUUUUUAUUUUUUUUUUGUGGUGAAUUUCAUUGGAGUUUGGUUACUAAUGUAGCCCUCUGAGGAGAAGAAAGUUUGGAACUUUUUUGGUGAAAGCUAAGAAUUUUCCUAAAAAAAGUAAGACCAGAAAGAGAAAUUAAGAGACCGGUAUCUUGGCGGGGCGACUCGGAAUGCAACCCGAGGUUUGCAGCCAUGGCUAUGUCUUUAUUUUAUUGUUUUAUCAAAAUGAUCUGAGCUUUAAUUUACUCUUGUAGCUCUUGUUUGGAUGGUUGUUACAUAAUUUAUUGUGUUGUUAUUCUAAAAAUGUGUCUUUGGUAUGAAGGAAAACGUUUGAUCAGUGUUUGGUUUACUAAUGUAGCCCUCUGAGAAGAAGAAAGUUUGGAUUUUUUGGGUGAAAACUAAGAAUUUUCCUAAAAAAAUGUUAGCCCAGAAAGAGAAAUGAGGUUAAUAGAGAGAAGAGAUUUCUUGUUAAGGGUGGUUGCCCCUCUCUGUUGUGCCAAUGAUUUCUCAUAUGAAAAAAAUAAAAAAUAAAAUCAAACAACCCUUGAAAUUUUGAGUCAAAGUGGUCCUUUAAGUUAUGGAGUUGAGCUAAGUUCAUCUCACAAAGAAGAGCUUGAGAGAAUCCUGAGGUUACAAUUAAUACUUGGCAAGAGAAAUUAAGGAGACCCGUAUCUUGGCGGGGCAACCCGGAUCUGAACCUGAGGUUUGCAGCCAUGGCGAUGUCUUCAUUCUCUUGUACCAGACUAAUGGGUUUUUACAAUUUAAUCUGGUGAGAAAAUGACAAGAAUGGUCUCUUAUGUUUGAAGGUAGGUUCAAAAUAGCUCCUUAAGAAAGUUGGGAAAUUUUCUGGUGAAAACUAAGAAUUUUCCUAAAGAAAGUUAGCCCAGAAAGAGAAAUGAGGUUAACAGAGAGGAGGGAUUUUCUUCUAAGGGUGGUUGCCCCUCUCUGCAACUCCAGUGAUUUCUCUUAUGAAAAAGGAAAAAUCAAACAGCCCUUUAAAUCGCAGGGAAAAAUUGUUCUUAAUGUUAUGGAGUUGAACUAAAUUCAUCUCACAAAGAAGAGAGAGAGAAUUCUGAGGCUGCAAUGAUACUUGGUAAGAGAAAUUAAGAGACCCGAAUCUUGGCGGGGCGACCCGUUUUUGUGUCAUGUAACCGAGGUCUGCAGCCAUGGCAUGUCUUUGUUCUCUGGAUUUACAACAGAUGAGCUUCAGUUUUACCCUUAAGGGCAUCUCUGGUAUGGAGGAAUAUGUUUUUUUUUUUUUUUUUUUAAAUUUUUUUUUUGGGAAAUUAUCAGGUGAGAGCCAAUAAUUUGCUAAUGAAAUUUAGCCCAGAAAGAGAAAUGAGGUUAAUAGAGAGAAGGAAUUUUUUGUUAAGGGUGGUUGCCCCUCUCUGUUGUGCCAGUGAUUUUCUUUUCAGUAACUAAACCAACAGCCCUUGAUCAUGAAGUACACAAACAAAUUGAAACAUAUGCUCAGCCGUAGAUCUCAGUGUGUGUGUUGCUUUUUCCCCCUUUUGGAGUAAUUGUGCAAAAAAGGAUGUGAUGAUGGUAAUGUUUUACUCUCUGGGCUAACAAAAUCGGGCAUUGAGGACAGUCCGACCCGUAUCUCUUCCUGGCAAAUCCCAGGAUGGCAUGCAACUGAGGCUCUCUCUUUUGCAUGCAACCGGUGAUUUUGCAGUCAUGGCGUGGUUGCCUUCCCUUUGUCCAAGCAAAAACGCAGUAUCUGAGCCUCAAAUUUUUGUGCUUUAAAGGGUCGUUUGGUUGUUGGUUAGGAUGCGAGUUAUUCGUGUUAGGAUGAUUAUUUCCCCCUUUGGAGUAUUUGUGCAAAAGAGCUUUCAUGAUGGCAAUAUUUUACUUUCUGGGCUAACAAAAUUGGACAUUGAGGACAGUCCGACCCAUAUCUUGGCUUGGCAAUCCCAGGAUGGUGUGCAACUGAGGCUCUCUAUUUUGCAUGCCCAAGUUUACCCUUUACUGAAAUGGAUUUAUUACUAUGGCACGAAGAAUAAACUCUAAUUGUAAAUGCCGAACCAGAACUGGAAGUAGCAACGAAAGAGAUAAAAGGAAUACCAUUGCGCAGAGAAAUUCUCGUCAUCUUCAAUGAAUUGGUGGAAAUUUUUCAGCGGAUGUAAGAGAGAGAAAGAGAGAAUUCUGAGGCUGCAAUUGAUACUUGGCAAGAGAAAUUAAGAGACCCGUAUCUUGGCGGGGCGACCCGGAAUGCAACCCGCGGUUUGCAGCCAUGGCGAUGUCUUUAUUCUCUUGUUUAUUCAACAGAUAGGAGCUUCAAUUUUACUCUUGUAGCUCUUGUUUGGAUGGUUGUUACCUAUUGUAUUGUAUUUUUAUGCUAAAAGGGUGUGUUUGGUAUGAAGGAAAUUGUUUCUUUUAUGAUGAAUUUCAUCAGUGUUUGGUUACUAAUGUAGCCCUCUGAGAAGAAUAAUGUUGGGAAAUUUUCUGGUGAAAACUAAGAGCCCGUUUGGAUUAGCUUAUAAGUUGCUGAAAACAGAAGUUAGCCCAGAAUAGAAAUGAGGUUAACAGAGAGGAGGGAUUUUCUUCCAAGGGUGGUUGCCCCUCUCUACAACUCCAAUGAUUUCUCACAUAAAAAAAGGAAAAAAAUAAAUAAAAAUCAAACAACCCUUGAAAGGAUUGACUCAAAAUGGUCCUUUAAGUUAUCAAAAAAAAAAAUAUAUGUGUAUCAAAAAAUGGUCCUUUAAGUUAUGUAGUUGAGCUAAGUUCAUCUCACAAAGAAGAGAUUGAGAGAAUUCUGAUGUUGCCGUUGAUACUUGGCAAGAGAAUAUUAGAGAUCCGUAUCUUGGCGGGGCGACCCGGAACUCAACCCGAGGUUUGCAGCCAUGGCGAUGUCUUUAUUUUCUUGUUUUAUAAACAGAUCUGAGCUUUAAUUUUAGUCUUGUAGCUCUUGUUUGAAUGGUUGUUACCUAUUGUAUUGCGUUAUUAUGCUAAAAGGGUGUGUUUGGUAUGAAGGAAAAUGUUUUUUGUUUUGUCAUAAAAAAAAAAUGUUUUUGUUUGAAGAAAGUUGGGAAAUUUUUAGGCGAGGGCCAAGAAUUUUCUUUAAAAAAAAUUCUGGCCAGAGAGAGAAAUGAGGUUAACAGAAAAGGGAUGUUCUGUUAAGGGUGGUUGCCCCUCUCUGUUGUGCCAAUGAUUUUCUUUUUAGCAACUAAACCAACAGCCCUUUGUUCAUGAAAAAUAUGCAUGCAUUUUCUUCAAUCUACAGCUUCAGCUGUAUAUCUCAGUGUGUGUGCUUCUGUUUCCUCCUUUUGGAGUAAUUGAGCAAAAGAGGCUGUGAUGAAGAUAAUGUUUUACUGUCUGGGCUAACAAGGGCAUUGAGGACAGUCCGACCCGUAUCUUGGCUUGGCAAAUCCCAGGAUGGCCUGCAUCUGAGGCUCUCUUUGGCAUGCAACUGGUGAUUUUGCAGCCAUGGCGUGGUUGCCAUCUCUUUGUCCGAGCAAAAAUGCAGUAUCUGAGCCUCAAAUUUUUGUGCUUUAAAGGGUCGUUUGGUUGCUGGUUACGAAGCGAGUUAUUCGUGUUAGGAGGAUUAUUUCCCCCUUUGGAGUAAUUGUGCAAAAGAGCUGUCGUGAUGACAAUGUUUUACUUUCUGGGCUAACAAAAUUGGGCAUUGAGGACAGUCCGACCCGUAUCUUGGCUUGGCAAAUCCCAGGAUAGCGUGCAACUGACGCUCUCUCUUUUGCAUGCAACUGGUGAUUUUGCAGCCAUGGCGAGGUUGCCUUCCCUUUGUCCAAGCAAAAAAGCAGUAUCUGGGCCUCAAAUUUCUGAAAAUCGAACCGGGGACCUCUUGUGCUUUGAAAUACAUUAAAGUUUGCUCCAAUUAGAAUGAUAUACAGUCAGACCUCUCUAUAACAUCCAUUCGCUAUAAUAACAUUUCACUAUAACAACCAAGUCUCUGGAUUGUUCUCUAUAAUAGCAUUUCGCUAUAACAGCCAAGAAAUGUCUACACAAACGAUGCCAUUAUAAAAAAGUUCUACUGGAUCACAGAAAGAUGGGUACUUUAUCUGCUUCUUAGAUAUAAGCCUAUGAUUUCGGAGACAAUUUAACCGAAGAGACCCAGUAAGUCUGCAUUUAAGCCAAAAGCACUUUGCUUUCUCAGUGAAUGUUGUUGAUAGAUAGAUAUAUAAAUAGAGAAUAUGAGGCUAUGAUGAUAGUUUCUUCCCUUUUUUUGAGCAACUCAAUAGGGCAAGAAAAUAGAGAGACCGUAUCUUGGCGGGGCAACCCAGAUGGCUAGUUAUUUUGUGUCAUGCAACCGGUGUUUGCAGCCAUGGCGUUGCCUUCAUUCUCGUCUUAUCAACAGAUCUGAGCCUCAAAAAUACUCUUAUGGCGUCUUUGGUAUGAUGGAAAACAUUUUUCUUGAUGAAAUCAGCACUUGGACCAACGUAUCCUUAUGAGGAGAAAAGUUGUGAAAUUUUCAGGUGAGAGCCAAUAAUUCCUAAAAAAAAUAAAAGUCAGCCAGAAAGAGAAAUGAGGUUAAUGGAGAGACGGGAUUUUCUUCUAAGGGUGGUUGCCCCUCUCUGUUGCGCCAAUGAUUUUCUUUAGCAUACUAAACCAACAACCCUUGUUCAUGAAAUACUCAGAAGCAGAAGAUGAUCCAUAUAGCUCAGUAAGUGUAUUCUUGGGGGAUUUGCACUAAUGACCUUUUUUGUGGUAGUGAUGAUAAUGAUAUCACAUUCUGGGUUGACAAAUGGGGCAUUGAAGACAAUCCGACCCAUAUCUUGGCCUGGCAAAUCCAAGGAUGGCGUGCAACUGAGGUUCUCUCUUUUGCAUGCAACCUGUGAUUUUGCAGCCAUGGCGUGGUUGCAUUCUCUUUAAGUGGUCGUUUGGUUGCUGGUUAGGGGAGGAGUUAUUCAUGUUAGGAGGGUUUUUUCUAAGGGUGGUUGCGCCUCUCUGCAACUCCAGUGAUUUCUCUAUAUGAAAAAAAAAAAAUGAAAAAACUCAACCAACCCUUUAAAUCUGAGGGAAAAAUCAUUCACACCCUGUUGAGAUUUUUGACUCAAAUGAUCCUUUAUGUUAUGGAGUUGAUCUAAUUUCUUCUCACAAAGAAGAGAGAGAGAAUUCGGAGGCUGUGAUGAUACUUUCUUAUUUUCUUUGGGGCAAGAGAAAUUAAGAGACCCGUAUCUUGGCGGGGUGACCCGGAAAGCAACCCGAGGUUUGCAGCCACGGCGAUGUCUUCAUUCUCUUGUUUUAUCAACAAAUCUGAGCUUCAGAUUUAGUCUUGUAGCUCUUGUUUGGAUGGUUGUUACCUAAUGUAUUGUUACGCUAAAAGGGUGUGUUUGGUAUGAAGGAAAAUGUUUUUUUAUGAUGAAUUUCAUCAAAGUUUGGAUACUAAUGUAGCCCUCUUAGAAGAAGAAAGUUGGGAAAUUUUCUGGUAAAAACUAAGAAUUUUCCUAACCACCAACCCCCCCCCCCCCCCCCCCCCCCCCGCCGCAAAAUACCCGUUUGGGUGGUUCAUUAUUGUAUUGUUUUCAUUGAAGGAAGGAAAAAUCAAACAGCCAUGGCGAUGUCUUAUCAACAGAUCUGAGCCUCAAACUCUUAUGGCACCUUUGGUAUGAUGGAAAACACUUUUCCUGAUGAAAUCAGCACUUGGACCAAUGUAUACCUAUGAGAAGAGAAAAGUUGUGAAAAUUUUCAGGUGAGAGCCAAUAAUUCCUAAAAACAAAAGUCAGCCAGAAAGAGAAAUGAUGUUAAUAGAGAAACGGGAUUUUCUUCUAAGGGUGGUUGCCCCUCUCUGUUGUGCCAAUGAUUUUCUUUAGCAAUACUAAACCAACAGCCCUUGUUGAAAUACUCAGAACAACAGCUAUGAGCAUUGGAACAUAUGCUUCUUCAGUCUGCGGCUUCAGCAUAUAUGUGUGUGUAUUUCUGUUUUCCUCCUUUUGAGUAAUUGUACAAUAGAGGCAGUGAUGAUAAUAAUCUUCCACUUACUGGGCUAACAAAAUCGGGCAUUGAGGACCAUCCGACUGUAUCUUGGCCUGGCAAAUCCCGGGAUGGCCUGCAUUUGAGCCUCUCUCUUAGUCUCUUUUGCAUGCCACCAGUGAUUUUGCAGCCAUGGCGUGGUUGUGUGCUCUUUGUUCGGGCAGAAUUCAGUAUCUGAGCCUCUAAUUUCUAUGAAUCGAACUUGGGACCUGUUGUGCUUUGAAUAAUAUUAACAUUUGCUCCAAAUGUUAGUUCUACAGAUCAAAAGAAUGAGGUGUCACAUAAAGAUGGGUACUUUUUCUUCUCAGGAAUUUCAAUCCGAAAGCACUUUGUUGUCUCCAUUAAUACUCACUGGAUUGGGAAUUUGAACUGAAACGUCAAUCGAACACGCAACACAACUUUCUGAUCUGGAGUCAAACGUGCUACUAUUACGCCAUGAAUCCUUAUGGUGUCUUUAUAGGAUUGAAAGUAUUUUUUCUGGAUGAAAUCAGUAUUUAGUUAGCAAUGUGUCCUGCUGUGGAUAACCGAGUGAAGGGAUUUUCUUCUAAGGGUGGUUGUUCCUCUCGGUUGUGCCAAUGAUUUUCUUUAGCUACUAAACCAACAACCCUUGUUCAUGAAAUAUUCAGAACCAGAAGCUAUGAAGCCAUAUAUCUUAGUGUGUGCGUGUGUGUAUUUUUUUCCUUCUUUCAAGUUUAUCUUUUUCAUGAUGAAAUCAGUAUUUGGUUACGGAUGUAUCCCUCUAAGAAGAGAAAAGUUGGGAAUUUUCAGGUGAGAACCAAGAACUUUCCAGAAUGAAGAAGUCAGCCCAGAAAGAGAACUGAGGCUAACAGAGGGAGGGAAUUUUCUUCUAAAGGUGGUCACCCCUCUCUGUUUGGCCCAAUGAUUUCUUUAGCAACUAAACCAACAGCCCUUGUUCAUCAAAUACUCAGAAAGGUCACUCUGAUCAUGGAAAAACAAGCAUUAAUCUUCAUCUGUUUUUGGUCUGCAGCUUUAGCAUAAACUUGUGUCUGUGUGUGUGUCUUUUUGGCAUAUAUCUUUUUCCUCUUUUUGAGUAAUAGAGGCAGUGAUGAUGUUUCAAUUUCUGGGCGGACAAAAUUGGGUAUUGAGACAGUGCAACCCGUAUCUUGGCUUGGCAAAUCGACUGGUGAUAUUGCAGCCACAGCGUGUUUGCCUUCUCUUGGCCUGAUCAAAAUGCAGAUCUGAGCCUCAAAUUUCUGCGAAUCGAACCCGGCUCCUCAUGUUCUUUGAAAUCUAUUAAUGUUUGGUCCAAAUUUUAGCCCAAGCUUCAGACCAAAAGAAUGAGGUGUCAGAGAAGAUGGGUACUUUUUCUUCUCUGGUAAGCCCAUGAUUUCAAAACCAAAAGCACUUUUCUUUCUCAUUGACCGUGGUUGAUAGAUAUAUAGAUAGAAUUUUUUUCUGAUUCCAUGCAAACCCAAAUCAAUCUAUCGACUAUGCUCAAUCCCGGGACACAUGAUUGGAAAUGCCAUUGGAAGGAAUUGAACCUUCGACCUUGUGGUUAAUAGCGACAUGCUCUAACCAACUGAGCUACACCACGCAAGCCCAAAGUGGAUGAAAAAAAGAUAAAUAAAUAAAUGACGGGGCUAUGAUGAAAUUCUUCCUAGAAAAUGAAAUGAAGCAUUCAGAUAAUUUGAGCCGUAGCUUGGCAGGGCGACCUGUUAGCGUCUAUGGUAACAUGCUAAAGGCUUGCAGCCAUCAUGGUGCUGAAUCCGGCAUGCCAAUGAUUUCUUUGUUGCUCCAACCAACAGCUCCUUUUUGUAGGUUUUUGCUGUCUACAGUGGAUGGAAUUUCAACCCAGAAUAAAGAAUGAGGCCAACAGGGAGAAGGGAUUUCUUGGAGGGUGGUUGCCCUCUCUGCUUGGCCUAUGAUUUCUCCAUCUACCAAACCAACAACCCUCUUCAGAAAAAAACAGGCAAGUAUGUUUGGUGAUUCUGAUAGUCGAGAUGCUAUCUUUUUGAGUUUAAGCCUUGAGGCAAUGUUUUUGGUCCAAAACAUCCCCAGAUCUGAAGGUUGCGUUUGUUUGAUGAGAAUUUUUUAACAUGUCCAAAUGGCUCCUAGAACUAUGGAAAAGUUCCCAUUUCUCAGAGGUAAUGAUGAUACUGCUAAUCCCUGCUGAAGUUCGGGGCAUGGAGACAGUCUGACCCGUAUCUUGGCAGGGGAAACCUGGAUGGUUUGGGAUUGAGGCCUUCUCUUUCACGUGCAACCGGCUGCUUGCAGCCAUGGCGUGUUGUUGCCUACUCUUUGCCCCGUUUUACGCAGAUCUGAGCCUCAAUAUCCAACUAGUACAUCUGGAUUUUUUGGGUCUCGAACCCAGAAUCUCUCGUUUGGUGAAAAACAUUUGGGUUAUUCAAUUUUUCUUAAACACCUUCUUGCUGUUCUCCAUCAAACUUUUAGCUCAAACAAUUGAGGCAAUUGGAGAAAAAAAAAAAGGGAUCUUUUAGGGUGGUUGACCAUCUCCAACAUUCCUAUGAUUUCUAUUCUCUUUAAGUUCUCACAAACAGCUCUUUUUGUUUGUGUGUGUUUGUUAAUCAACCCCCAUACAUUAGGGACCAUAUUGAUUAUUUUUCUUUUGAUGUGGUGUACAAUUAUCGUACUAGUGUGGAGACCCAAAUCACCGCAUUGAGCGCAGAUUUUCGUCACAGAAACCCAAAGGGAAGGCACUAGCUGGGAAUCAAACUCGGAUCUGUACUGCGGCAGGGUACUAUCUACCAGUAGACCACUGGUACAAGGGACAGAUCAUUUUAUCUCUGUUUUCUGCUACUGUUAUACUCUGUUCCUCAGAGGCUGCAUUGGCAAAGCAACAGCAGAACUAUAUGACAAUGAAAUGGAAAAGAAAAUGAUGGGGCUGUGAGAUUGAUUGUUAUUGAGCGUAUGGAACCUGGCAUUGUAGUUUCAGACCUGUAUCUUGGCGGGGCAACCCGUAUUAUAGGGUCUGCAGCCAUGGCAGUGUCAAAGAACUCAUUGCCUGAGAUAAUUACCUAGCUGAGCCUCAAGUCUUUUGAAAUGGCUGAAUAUAUUGACGGCCCCUCAAACUUGCAGAAAGUUUUCAUCUAGAUGCACGUUGCCGAAGUUGUCCAAACAGGCUCUUAUGGAAAAGUUUCCAUUUUUCAGAAGAGGCAAUGAUGAUAUUGCUAAUCUUGGCUGAAAUUUGGGGCAUGGAGAAAAUCUGACCCAUAUCAUGGCAUGGAAAACCGGGAUGGUUUGUGAUUGGGGCUUCUCUUUUACAUGCAACCGGUUUCUUUUGCAGUCAUGUUGUUGUUGCCUUCUCUUUUCCCCAUUUUAGGCAGAUCUGAGCCUCAAUUUCCAAUUAGAGCCUGUUUGGAUGGGCUUAUGCCUAUAAGCUGCAAACAACUUAUAAGCUAAAAAAAAAUAAGUUGGGGUAGUCUAACUUUUUUUUUUUGGCUUAUAAGCUCUUUUCAGCUUAUAAGCUGCUUUAGAUAAGCUAAGUCAAAUGGGCCCAAUUAUUUUUUUGAGCUUAUUUUAAGCACAAAAUGACUUUAAGCUGGCCAACCAAACACUCAAAAAAGCUGAAAACAGCUUAUAAGCAACUUAUAAGCCAAUCCAAACGGGCUCUUAGUCUUUAAAUAGGGGGCCCAAAACGGCUAUUUGUGUCGUCCCCCACUUUAUUUGCAUUGAGCAAAUUCAGCCGUAUCUUGGUGGGGCGACCUGGUAUGACAUCAUCUGUAAACCGGUGUCUGCAGCCAUGGCGUGUAUCACUUUCUCUUUGCAUAGAUCAAAGAACAGCAAAAUUUGAGCUCUAAAGUCACAGCACUCCCAUUUUAUGGUCUUGAAUUGGAUGGCCGUUCUCUGGAACCUGAAUCCCACUCGGGUUCUUCAGUUUUUCUUGAAUAACCCAGUUGAGGUGCUGUUCUCCAUCAAAUCUUAGCUAAAAAGUGAGACAAUAGGUGAAAAAUGGGAUUAUUCACCAUCUCCAGCAUGCCAAUGCGUCUCUUCAGCUCUAACUAACAGGCCUUUGUGUAUAUAUAUGUAUGUGUAUUAACUACACAAAAAAAAGUGGAGGUUCUGCCCAACAUGAAUACUGAGGCCAACAGAGAGACAAGGGAAUUCUUGGGAAUACGUCAACCAAAAGAACAACCCUCUUCAGAAGUACUAGUACUGCUUUCUGAUUUCUCUGAACUUAAACCCAACAUCAUGUUUGAAAUUGUCCAAACGGGCUCUGUAUGGUAAAAUUACCAUUUUUCUAGAGGCAGUGAUGAUAUUGCUAAUCUGGGAUGAUAUUCGGGGCAUGGGACAAUCUGACCAGUAGCUUGGCAGAGCAAACCCGGGUGGUUUGUGAUUGAGGCUUAUCCUUCACAUGCAACUGGCUCUUUUACAGCCAUGUCGUUGUCAGAUUCUCCUUACAACAGCAACAACAACAACAUACCCAGUGUAAUCCCAUAAGUGGGGUCUGGGAGGGUAGUGUGUAUGCAGACCUUACCCCUACCUCGCAAGGUAGAGAGGUGUUGGAUUCUCUUUGUCCCAUCUUUUUGCAGAUCUGAGGCUCCAUUUCCAACUAGUCUUUCUGGACUUUCAGGACUCGAACCUAGGAGUACCUUGUUGUAUGGAAACCCAUGUCAUUUUUGGACUAUGCAUGUUGUUGCUGCUGUUGCUGCAUCUUCUUCUGUUUCUUUUGUUCUUGAUGGUGAUGGUUGUGUUAUCAACCAAAUAGCAGAAAAUUAAUGCAAGAAGGGGAGAUUUUAUGGCUGUGAUGUUAUAAUGCUUUUUUUUAAUUAGCAAUUUGAAUUGGGUGUUGAGAUGAUAAGAACCGUAUCUUGGUAGGGUUACCAGGCGAGGUAGCAGCCAUGGCGGUUUCUGAUAAACUCAAUGCCUGAUUAAAAUUGAAAACUGAGCCUUGUCAUGUACAUGAUGUACAUGUAUAUUGUCUGUAUAUACAACACACACACAAGUAAACAAAGUGUGGUCUCUCUAACAGCUUAAUUAGAUGAGAUGAUCACACACUUCAACACACACAAAAAGAUACAUCAACAACAACAACAACAACAUACCCAAUGAAAUCACACAAAGUGGGGUCUGGGGAGGGUAGAGUGUACGCAGACCAUACCUCUACCUUGGGAGGUAGAGAGGCUGUUUCCAGCAGACCCUCGGCUUAAGGACAAAAUAGCAAGUUGAUCGACUCUGCGGGGAUCGAACCCAGAAUCUCUGUUUCCGUAGGCCAGCACCUUAUCCAUUUUGCCACAGAGUCUUUGAUACUACAUGUCCAAAAUGGUCCCUUAUCGAGGCAGUGAUGGUCUUUAAAUCUAUCCUCAUAGAAUAUCGACCCGUAUCUUGGCGAGGCAUUGACCUGGAUGCCUGUGAUUUGAUUACAUGCAACUGGGGGUAUUGCAGCCAUGGCGUGGCCGGACUUUCUUUGCCCGAGCAUAAAACAGAUCUGAGCCUCAAUUGUCACUUAUAUAUUACUCUAUUGUAUUUGGUAUGGAGGAAAAUGUUUCAGUGAGGAAGAAUGAGGCAGCAGAGAGAUGGGAAUUUCUGUGAAGGUCGGUUGCCCCUCUCUGCUAUGUCCUUAAUUUCUCCAUUUGUGAAACCAACAACCCUUUGAGAAAAACAAGAACAGGAAAAUGAUAACCAUCUCAACAACACCCCUUUGAGUAUUUACCUCUGUGAAAAAGCGGCUAUGCUCUUCCUUUCUUCUGCUUCUGCUUCUGCUGCUACCACUGCUAUCUAUGAUAAACAGCAGCCCUAAAAGUGGAUGCCUGGUGUCGUUUCUAUGUUGAUCUUCGCAGAUCACCUGAAAAUGGGCUGUGAUGAUGAUUGCUUCCUUUUGGGCUAUCUAAUUUACUGUUUUGAGAAAAUCUGACCCGUAUCUUGGCUGGGUGACCCGGUAUGGUAUCAUAUGCAAACCGGUGUCUGCAGCCAUGGCGUGUGUCGCUUUCUCUUUGCAUGUCCAUAGAUAGAAAAAUCUGAGCCCUAUAAACUCUCUUACAAAUCAGUGUGUUAACCUUCACAAAAAUGGAGGUUGAGCCCAAUAUGAGGAAAGAGGCCAACAGAGAAAAGAGAAUUCUUGGAAGGGUGGUUGCCCCCCUCUGCUUGGCCUAUGAUUUCUCCAUCAAUAAAACCAACAAUCCUAUUCAGAAGUACUACUAUUAGUCUAUUACUGUUUCUGAUUUCUCUGAGCUUAAACCAAAUAUUAUGGACAUCCUCAGCAGGUUAUCUGUGCGGUCUCUUCUUCGAUUCAAAUGUGUUUUCAAGGUUUUGGAAGACAUUAAGCUCUGAGCCUUACUUUAAGAUGAAGCAUCUCAAUCAUGCCUAGAGUAACCAAAUUCUCAAAAAGUCUUGUUAGCCAAUGGUACCUUUCUACGGACGAGUUCAACUGGUUGAAGAUGUGCAAAAGCGUGGUUGGCCUUCAAAUGGUAAACCACGGAGUUUCAAGCUUUCUGUAUAAACAAUUUCGUUCUGAAUAGUACAGAACCAAAAUGUUCGAAAAAGUUGGCAGCAGAGUAACACUUCACCAUCCAAACAUCUAUAUUUCGGCAUGGCUGAAUAAAGACCGGUAACUUGUAUAUUAAACAAAUUAUUCCAAGAUUUAUUGACACCAUAGUCUUUCAUUACUCAUAACUUAAAAGUCCUUUCCUUUACGUAAGUAGAAUAACCACAAAGCAUUCCUCCCAAUACUGAGACACCACUUUUGACGUAUGCCACGUUUAAAAUCAAGCACAAACCUUCUUGCAACAGUAUCUCUCGGUACACCUCAUUUGAAAUACUAAAUGAAACCACAAAAUUAUUCACUGACAAACCAAGCCAAUGAAAUGCUCCAUGUACAAAUGCCGAAGUGUUCAUAUUAUACUACACAUGGUAAAUGCCGGUAGGAUGUUUAUCAAUUUUUCUCCAGGAACCACUUUUCAGCACUAGAAUUUCACUGCGUGCUGUGUGAUCUCUCCAAAAUUACUUACUUGGGGAUUGGCUAAAUAUAUAGCGGGUUUAGCAAAAAUCCUCAGUUAAGCUUAGAAAGGAAGAAUGAGACAUCAGAGAGAUGGGAUUUUCUGUGAAGGGUGGUUGCCCCUCUCUGCUAUGUCCAUGAUUUCUCCAUUCACAAAACCAACAACCCUCUGGGAAAAGAAAAACAAGAAAGGGAAAAUGAUAAACCAUGAUACCACUGCUAACUAUGAUAAGUAGCAGCCCUGGUGUCAUUUCUGCGUUGAUCUUCGCAGAUCACCUGAAAAUGGGCUGUGAUGAUGAUUGCUUCUUUCUGGGCUAUCUAGUUUACUGCUUUGAGAAAAUCUUACCUGUAUCUUGGCUGGGCGACCCGGUAUGGCAUCGUCUGCAAACCGGUGUCUGCAGCCAUGGCGUGUCACGUUCUCUUUGCAAGAUCAUAUAUAGCAAAAUCUGAGCCCUAAAGAAGUCUUUUGCACAACAAUGAGAAUUUUCCCAGAAGGAAGAAUGAGGCCAACAGAGAGAAAAAUGAUUUCUUGGAGGGUGGUUGAUCUCUCUGGUUGGCCUAUAAUUUCUCCAUUAAAAGAAAUUACUUUUUCCUUCACUAAUGUACCCUUGAUCGGCCAUGGCAAGAGCAAAAGAACUUGGGAAUUGAGCAUUGUGCUAUAUAUAUUAGUGUCUUAGCAGAACCCUCACCAUAGUUUAACCCAGAAAGUAAGAAUGAGACAUCAGAGAGAACAUGGGAUUUCUGUAAAGGGUGGUUGCCCUCUGUCUGCUAUAUGUCCAUGAUUCUUUCUCCAUUCAUAAAAGAAAACCAACAGCUCUUUGAGAAAACAGUAAAAGAAACCAUAUAUGCAUUUGGGCAUAGAUUCCAAAUAUUUUUUGCUUCUGCUACUACUGCAGCUGAUUUUCGCAAAUAUCCACUUUUUAAGUAAGUUAUUGCGUGGAUUCCAAAGAUUUGAGGGACAAAAAUUAAAGACCACCACCAAAAUAGGGGCAUUUGUGCGAAUGACCCAUUUUUGAGAGUUUGGAACCUAAAUGACGUGAAAAAAAGGGCUCUGAUGAUGAAUUGCUUCUUUCUGGGCUAAUAAUCUACUUUACUCGCUGCUUUUGAGAAGAUCCGACCCGUAUCUUGGCGUGGCGACCCGGUACGACAUCCAUGUGCAAACCGGUGUCUUGCAGCCAUGGCGUGUGUUGGUUUCUCUUCGCAUGUUCAUUUACAGAAAAUCUGAGAGAAAAUGACAAAAAUGAUCCUUUAUCUUUGAGGGUAGGUUCAGAAUAGUCCCUUAAGUAUGCACUUAACAGUUUUGGUCCUUUAUGUUUUUCAAAAGUUUAACACUUUUAGUGUCCGUCAAAUCUUUAUCGAACUCUGUCGGUUAGAUUUGACGGAAACAGUGGGGAAAAAAAAGACUUAAACUAUAAAUUUCUUCAAACAUAAGGGACCAUUUUGUCAAAAUCUGACAUGUAUCUUGGCGGGUCGACCUGGUAUGGCAACAUUUGCAACCCGCUGUCUGCAGCCAUGGCGUGUGUCGCUUUCUCUUUGUAUGUUCGUACACAAGCAAAGUGUGAGCCCUAAAAAUUUGUUCGUCAGGGAAUUCAUUCUUUACUCAUCAGAUGGUUGAGCUUGGCUAUAUCUUGGCAUGGCAUCUUUUUGGAGUCUUGUGAGAUAUGGGAACUAUUAGGUUUCUGUGUCUCACAAAGGCUUCUUAAGCUUGCAGCCAUAGUUGGGUUUAGCUUAUGUCUGAGAAAAAGUUAAUCUUUGUGCCCAAGGAAUGAGGCUUUUUAUGGAACUCGAGAAAGGUUGAGAUUUUCUAAGGGUGGUUAUUCUCUUUCUCUGAAGUUCAAUUUAGCCGAUGAAUUUUCCAGUACUUUUGUUACCAAAAGAAAGAUUAACAACCCUUUCAUCAACUAAUGUCAAUUAUGCUCUUGAUGAUGAUGAUGAUGAUGAUGAUUCCGUGGCUUGGCUAUGGUAACCAUAAGGGAAAAUACAUAUUCAACCCCCCAAACUUUUUCAGGAAAUCCUGAUUCCUAAACCCUGAACUUUGUAAUGAGGCUGUGAUGACACUCUCUUGGAAGCUUGAAAAUCAGAUUUUUUAGCUGAUUAGCAUCUUGGCUAGGAGAAGGCAGCAGAAUUGGUGAGGUAGGUUUAUGUGCUUCUCCCAAUGGCGUCUGCUUUUUGCAGCCAUGGGUAGGCAAAUCUGAGCCUCCUUUCUGUGUGGAGCGACAUGGUUAGCAGGUGAGUUUGUUUUUUCUGCUCUUGUGCAAUUGUACAGAAGAGGCAGCAAUGAUGAUGUUUCACUUUCUGGACUAGAUGAAUCUGGACAUUGGACAAUUUGACCUGUAUCUUGGCCUGGCAAAUCAGUGGAUGGUUGGCAUUUGAGAUUCUCUCUUUUACCAUCAAGAUCAUAUUUGAGCCUCAAAUUUCUGGGAAUUGAACUUGGGUCCUCUUGUUCUUUGAAAUCCUUAAGAACUCAAGGAUAGAGUGGUACGAGCCAAUAGAACAGAUCCUGUUCAAUUAAGGUCGUCAUUAAGUUUAACAGAUCUUUUCUCCUGUUCUUGCUGCUGUUGGACUAUUUUAUGAAUCAAGCAGCAAGAAGUCAAUGUAAGAACAGGGAGACUUUAUUGCUGUGAUGGUAAUGCCUUUUUCUAUUUUGAGCAACUGAGUUAGCCGCUGAGAUGAUAAGAGCCGUAUCUUGGAGGGGUAUCGUGGGAAGGUUGCAUCCAUGGCGGUUUCUGAUUAAACCCACUGCCUGAUUGUUAUGUGCAUGAUGUGCAUGUAUAUUAUCUAUGUACAUACCAACACACACACAUGCAUACCUAUCAUGAGAAAAUGUCAAAAAUGGUCCCUUAUCGAUCCUCCCGAGCCAGUAAUUGAGCAUAGAGAGUACCUGACAUGUAUAUUGGCGGGGCAAUGACCCAGAUACGUGUGAUUGUUACACGCAAUUGGGGAAUCUGCAGCCAAGGCGUGGCCGGACUUUCUUUGCCUGAGAAUAAAUACAGAUCAGAGCCUCAAUUGUAACUUACACAGUCAGACAUCUCUAUAACAACAUUUCACUGUAUUAUAUGUUCUCUAUGUCAGCAGUACGCUAUAUCAGCCAAAAUAUAUCAGGACAAACAAUGCUGCUAUAGUGAGGUUUGAUUGUAUCUUUUGGUAUUUUUGGCAUGGAGGGAACUAUUUCAGUGAAGUAGUCAUUUCAACAAAUAAGACCUUCGACAUGAUUCCGUAAUUUGGGAGGUCCAAAAGGAUCAGGGCUCUAUAAAUAUGAAGCAGAAGGUGAAACGAAAAUGGAAAAAUCUCAUUAGUUUAAGUCUGAGGCUGAUUCAGAGAGUUGCGGGGAGUUGUUCGAGUGGUUGCCCCCCUGUCAUUCUUAGCAGCCAAUGAUCACUCAAAUUUUCCCAAUUUCAAACCACUCUCUAGCAAAAUAAGUUCAAUGAGGCAGUGAUGAUUUCAUUCUAUACUCAUCAGAUGGUUGAGCCUUGCUAUAUCUUGGUGUGGCAGCUUUUGGGGGGUUUUGUGAGAUAUUGGAGCUAUUUUGGUUUUUGCGUCUGACAAAGGCUCCUUAAGCUUGCAGCCAAGGCGGGGUGUAGCUUAUGUCUGAGAGAAGGCGAAUCUGAGCCUUCCUAAAAUAUCUUUUAUAGUUCAAAUGAGACUUUUUAUGGAACUCGAGGAAGGUUGAGAUUUUUAUGGAAUUUCAGACUUUGUUUAAGAUCUGAUUUGGUCAGAUGUAAUAAGAUCUAUUAAGAGGUUGUAUCUUAAAAAAAAAAAAAAAAAACACAUUUAAUGGGCUGACAUCUGAACCAUUCAGAUUCAGACUCUCACUAAGUGCAAACAAAUGAGGCCUAAAUAUCUUUUAUUGUUCAAAAUGAGGUUUUUAUGGAACUCGAGGAAGGUUGAGAUUUUCUGAGGGUGGUUACUCUCUUUCUCUGAAGUUCCAUUUAGCCGAUGAAUUUUCCAGUACUUUUGUUACAAAGAGAAAGAUUAACAACCCUUUCAUCAGCUAAUGCCAAUUAUGCUCUUGAUGAUGAUGAUGAUGAUGAUUCUAGCCAUGGUUAUGGUGGAAAAUACAUAUUCUUCCAACCUAAACUUUUCCGGAAAGCCCGAAUCUUAAACCCUAAACUUUGUGAAUAAGGCUGUGAUGAUAUUCUCAAGUAAGAUUUAUAAUCAGAUUUUUGAGCUGAUUCGGAUCUUGACUAGGCAAAGGCAGGGGAAUUUGUGAGGUUGGUUCUUAUGCGCUCUCACAAAGGCCUCCGCUUUUUGCAGCCAUGGCGAAUUAGCCCCUUUUCUGAUAUAAUUUUAGGCUAAUCUGAGCCUCUUUUCUGUGUUAUGGUUAGUUCUACAAUGAGUGGUCCUUUUGUUUAGUUCUGUUCAUGUUCUUUCUUCUGUUUUUGAAUAAUCUAUAUAUCUGUAUGGAGAUGAAUAAACACCAGCACUUUGUAUCUUAAACAAUUUAUUCCAAGAUUUCUUGACACCAUAGUCUUUCAUUACCCAUAACUUAAAAGUAUCCACCCCCCAUGAGUAUAAGUAGAAUAACCACAAAGCCCUCCUCCAAAUACUGAGAUUGAUCUGAAAUUGGGCUGUGAUGAUGAUUUGCUUCUUUCUGGGCUAUAAUCUACUUCACCGCGUUGAGAAAAUACGCCCCGUAUCUUGGCAGGGCGACUCGGUAUGGCAUCCAUUUGCGAACCGGUGUCUGCAGCCAUGGCGAUGUUGCUUUCUCUUUGCUUGUUUGUAGAACAGCAAAAUCUGAGCCCUAAAGUGGGCAUAUAUGAUUAGAAAUGCUAUUGGAAGGGACUGAACCUCCGACCUUGUGGUUAAUAACCACGCGCUCUAACCAACUGAGAAAUGAUAAAUAAAUAAAUCUAUGACGGGGCUAUAUGAUGAAAUUCUUCUUAGAAAAUGCAAUGAAGCUUUCAGAUAAUUUGAGCCGUAGCAUGGAAAAGCGACCUGUUAGCGUCUAUUGUAACAUGCUAAAGGUUUGCAGCCAUCACGGUGCUGAAUCCGUGAUGCCAAUGAUUUCUUUGUUGCUCUGAUCAAUAGCUCCUUUUUGUAGGUUUUUGCUGUCUACAGUGGAUGGAAUUUCAACCCAGAAUAAAGAAUGAGGUCAACAGGGAGGGUGGUUGCCCUCUCUGCUAGGCCUAUGAUUUCUCCAUCUACCAACCAACAACCCUCUUCAGAAAAAAACAGGCAAGUAUGUUUGGUGAUUCUGAUAGUCGAGAUACUAUCUUUUUGAGCUUAAGCCUUGAGGCAAUGUUUUUGGUCCAAAACAUCCCCAGAUCUGAAGGUUGCGUUUGUUUGAUGAGAAUUUUUUAACAUGUCCAAAUGGCUCCUAGAACUAUGGAAAAGUUGCCAUUUCUCUAAAGAGGUAAUGAUGAUACUGCUAAUCCCUGCUGAAGUUCAGGGCAUGGAGACAGUCCGACCCGUAUCUUGGCAGGGCAAACCUGGAUGGCUUGGGAUUGAGGCCUUCUCUUUCACAUGCAACCGGCUGCUUGCAGCCAUGGCGUGUUGUUGUCUACUCUUUGCCCCAUUUUACGCAGAUCUGAGCCUCAAUAUCCAACUAGUACAUCUGGAUUUUUUGGGUCUCGAACCCAGAAUCUCUCGUUUGGUGAAAAACAUUUGGGUUAUUCAAUUUUUCUUGAACACCUUCUUGCUGUUCUCCAUCAAACUAGCUCAAAGAAUUGAGGCAAUUGGAGAAAAAAAAAAGGGAUCUUUUAGGGUGGUUGACCAUCUCCAACAUUCCUAUGAUUUCUCUCCUCUUUAAGUUCUCACAAACAGCUCUUUUUGUUUGUGUGUCUUUUUAUUCUCAUUAAGGACCAUUUUGAUAUUUUCUUUUGAUAUGGUGUACAAUUAUCGUACAACUGCGGAGACCCAAAGUACCGCAUUGAGUGCAGAUUUUCAUCACCGCAAACUCAAAGGGAAUGCACCAGCGGGGAAUCGAAAUAGGUCUGUUCUGCGGCAGGGUACUAUCUACCACUAGACCACUGGGUAAAUGCCAGCAGGAUGUUUAUCAUUUUUCUCCAGGAACCACAUUUCAGCGCUAGAGUUUCAUUGCGUGUUGCGUGAUCAAUCAAUCAUAAGGAUCUUAUAGUCAUCACUAGUUGAGUCAUACCCCAAUCAGCAAGUACAAAAUUCCUUCGCUGAAAAUUUUGGAUGGGGAAGAACUGUUGAUUCUCUUGUGGAGGGGUUCCAUAGCAAAAGUAUGUUGUGCUUAUUAAGCCCGGAAAGGAAGAAUGAGUCGUCAGAGAGAUGGGAUUUAAAGGUGGUUGCCCCUCUCUGCUAUGUCCAUGAUUUCUCCAUUCGUAAAACCAACAACCCUUUGAGAAAAAAAAAAAAAAAAAGGUACAUGAUAAACCAUCUAAUAACACACCCCUUGAAUAUUUACCUCUGUAAAGAAAGGGGAUAUGCUCUUCCUUCCUCUGCUUCUGCUGCUACCACUACUAUCUAUGUUAAGUAGCAGCCCUAAAAGUAGAUACCUGGUGUCCAAGUUACCAGUUUCAAAAAAACAAAGUAGAUACCUGGUGUCAUUUCUACAUUGAUCUUGCAGAUCACCUGAAAAUGGGUUGUGAUGAUGAUUGCUUCUUUCUGGGCUAUCUAGUUUACUGCUUUGAGAAAAUAUUUACCCUAUCUUGGUGGGCUAGCCCGAUAUUGCAUCGUCUGCAAACCGGUGUCUGCAGCCAUGGCGCGUCACUUUCUCUUUACAUGAUCAUAUACAGCAAAAUCUGAGCCCUAAAGAAGGCAAAUAUCUGUUGCCGCCAAUGUGAUACUGAUAGCAAUAGUAUAUCCUCCGUCCAUUUUAUGUCUUGAAACUGUUCAUAAAUUACUAUGCCAAAGUUCCCAUUAUCCUAGAGGCAGUGAUGAUAUCGCUAAUCUGGGCUGAUAUUUGGGGCAUGGAGAAACCCCGACUCGUAUCUUGGGCUAGCUCGGAUCAUUCGAUCAUGCAGCCAUGGCAUUGUCAUUUCCCUUUGCCCCAUUUUACACAAACAGGGAAAUGAUGAAAAUCUAUGGUGUAGUGGCUAGCACUCUGGACUUUGAAUGCGACCUGGGUUCGACUCCCAGUAGGACCUGAGUUCUUAAUAUAAAUGUCACACUGGCUACGGUGGUGUCGUUGUUGAUAAUGCUUUUUUUGAGCAAUUUGAAUUCGGCGUUGAGAUGAUAAGAGCCGUAUCUUGGCGGGGUAACCAGGAAGAUAGCAGCCAUGGCGGUUUUUGGUAAAGUCAGUGCUUGAUUAAAUUGGCAUCUGAGCUUCGUUACGUACAUGGUGCACAUGUAUAUUCUCUGUCUUUUACAUACACUCACAAAAACGUACAUAUCAUGAGAAAAUGUCCAAAAUAAUCCCUUAUGUAGGUACUGAUGAUCUUUCAACCAGAUCUUCUGAGCUAGUAAUUGAGCAUUGAGAGUACGUGACUGUAUCUUGGCGGGGCAAUGACCAGGAUGCAUGUGAUAUUGUUGCAUGCAACUAGAGGUAUUUGCAGCCAUGGUGUCACUGAGCUUUCUUUGCCUGAGCAUAAAUAUACAGAUCUACAACAGCAUACCCAGUGUAAUCCCACAAUGUGGGGUGUAGGGAAAAGAAUGUUUCUAGUCAGACUCGGACCCGCAACAAUGCACUAUACAUUAUGCCCUUCGGUCGCUACGCUGAAUGUCAUAUUGUAAAAAUUAUGGGGUGAGAGAGGCUCAAGCUCUCGACCUCAGGAUUACUGGCAAAGCUAUGAGACCCAUGUGCUAGCCAAGUGCGCCACCACCCCAGCGGUGAACAGUCACCAUUUGAUACGUCUGCCAAGUCGAACCCGGGUCUAUUGCUUGGAAGGCAAUUAUCCUAACUGUUGGACUGCAAACGCCUGGAUCAUAAAUAUAUACAGAUCUGAGCCUCAGAUUCCCUUUAUAUUUUACUUUGGGUGUAUUGAUAUGGAUGAAACUAUUGCAGUGAAUAGAUGAAGCAGAAGGUGCAACGCAAAAUGAUAAACAUCUCAUUAGUUUAAGUCUGAGGCUUCGGGAUUCAGAGAGUUGGGCGAGUUGACAAGUUGUUUGAGUGGUUGCCCCUCUCUUUCAUUCUCAGCAGCCAAUGAUCACUCAAAGUUUCCCAAUUUCAAACCACUCUUUAGCAAAAUAAGUUCAAUGAGGCUGUGAUGAUUUUCAUUCUUUGCUCAUCAGAUGGUUGAGCUUUGCAAAUAUCUUGGCAAGGCAGCUUUUGGGGGGUCUUGUGAGAUAUGCAAGCUAUUUAAGUUUCUGGUCUCACAAAGGCUUCUUUAGCUUGCAGCCAUGGCAGGGUUUAGCUUAUGCGGAGAAAAGGCGAAUCUGAGCCUCUCAAAUUUCUCUUUGUGUUCAAAGGAUGUGGUUUUAUUGAACUCGAGAAAGGUUGAGAUAUUUUAAGGGUGGUUAAUCUCUUUCUCUGAAUUUCAAUUUAGCCAAUGAAUUUUCCUGUACUUCUGUUAUAAAACAGCACUUUAAGAGAAUAUACAUACUUUGGCCCCCUAAACUUUUCCAGAAAACCCGAAAUCCUGAACCCCAAACUUUGUGAAUGAGGCUAUGAUGAUAUUCUCUAGGAAGCUUGUAAGUCAGAUUUUUGAGCUGAUUCAUAUCUUGGUUAGGCAAAGGCAAGAGAAUUUGUGAGGUUGGUUCUUAUGUGCUCUCACACAAAAGGCCUCUGCUUUAUGCAACCACGGUGGAUUAGACUUUUUCUGAUAGAUCAAAUCUGAGCCUCUUUUCUGUGUUAACUUUAGUUCUACAAUGGGUGGUCUGUUUAUUUCGUCCUUUACCUUCUUUUUGUUUUUGAUGAAAUCGUCCUUUACUUCUUUUUAUGAUCAUGUUGUAUAGUAUUGGUUUGAGCGGAGUCUAAAUGGAGUGACAUGAUCAGUGACGAUUUAUAAUGUUGAUCCCAGCUUGUUUGGGACUGAGACGUUAUUGUUAUGUUCUUUUUAUAUUCAUAUUCUUUCUGCUACUUUUGCAUUAAUAGCAGGAAGAAUCCAAGUUUCAAAAGAAAACCAUAUGUGUUUAUCUACCCAUUCUCCUGGAGUGAAAUUAUUAGCUACUGAUAUGAAACAAGACCAAACGGAAUGACUGAAUAUUGAGGAUUCAUAUACCUGUCCUUAACCAGUUUGAUACCAAAGCUAUUUGGCAAAUUUAUCUACAAAAUUUUCCAGACUUUCAUGCCUCAUUUCGAUAUUGAAAUCCCAAGUUUCAGAGGCAGUGAAGAUUAUGCAUAAUGAAAAGGAAAAGUGAAAAUAUUGUUGAUUCAUGCCCUGGCUUGGCAAGACCAAUCGGAAGGUCUUUCUUAUAAGGCAACCAAUGAUUGCAGCCAUGACAUUGCUAACCCUGCUAUUUCCUUUGAUUAAAUAGGCGAAAAUCUGAGCCUCAUCCUCAACUUGGUUUAUUUACUUUUUUUUUUUUUUGACUAGUCUUUCUAGAAACAAUUUAAACUAGAUUUUUUUUGCGUGGUUCUUUGGUCUAUUAUUUUGAAUUCAGACUCUCUUCUGUUCUGUGUGGUUACUGGUUUGCUAAAGAUCGGAGAUAGUUAUGGUGUCUCCGAUUCCCCAAGAUCAUCUGUCUUUGUGCAGAGCCAGAUUCCUACUUUUGUUGGCCUUUUUUUCUUCCUAAUUUCAUUUUCUAAUGUAAUUAUUAUCCCAGUUGAAGCUGUAGUUUCUUGGAGCCCUACUCUUAACGUUCAAGACUAUUUUAACUCUUGGGACUUGAGACUAUGUUGAUACAAGUUUUAAGCUGGUGCGUACAGUCUUCGACGAGUACAUGCAGCAGUUCAAGAGACUCCUGAUAGCCCAACACGUUGAAAUGAAGAAAUCCGGUCCGGUCAGUUCAAGAACUAAACAUAUCCAGCAGCUGAUUGAACUUAGCAUUCUAAGAUUCUUGGAUUUUUUUGUGGUACGGUAUGAGCAUAGCGUUGAUGUCCAGUUGGCUUGAAUUUGUAAACCUUUGCUAACACCGUGAGUUUGCCUUGAAAAUGUAUUUGCGAUUUGUAUAGGGGCAAGCAUCUAGAUUUUAGAUACUUUUCAGCGAUGUUAGUUUCAUUUCUUAUUCCUGUUCAUUUUGUCUUUAUUAGGAAAGUGAAAGACACGAUGAAGAAGAUGUUGGACUUGAAUUCAGUCCGUGAGCUGCUUGGAUGGUUAACAUAUUGUUUCAUAGUGUAUCAUAUUAUAUUGUAUUGUGUCGUUUGAUGAAUAUAA